ACGUUUAUUUAAUCAGUUGCCUAGUAACCCUGCCUGUGUAUGACGUGAAUCUGAUUAGCCUGCGGCGGCAGCAAAUGAUGGGCCAUUUUUUUCUCCCAGCCACCAGUGCUCCCAGCCUGCUUCCGUGUGCUUUGAGGGUCUCCACAGACCCCACAGCCAAGUGAAGAAGAUCUUUGCAUGAACACGACCUUUCAGCUGGUGAAUCAGAUGACCAGAAAAAUUCCCCACAUCAGUUUUCUUUAUGGAGUGACCUACACACCAAGAAGAGCCGCUCAGCUCUCAAAACUGCUGUCAUGUAGAUACCUACGUGGAUAAACAAGUAAUGUUUCCACAAAACACUGCAGGUUAGGGCCUCUGCUCAUGGCAGGAUA
This 371-nucleotide long non-coding RNA is filed under the name Homo sapiens (human). Its description in RNAcentral is "HSALNT0115535". The record is from RNAcentral. Lineage: Eukaryota; Metazoa; Chordata; Mammalia; Primates; Hominidae.